RNAcentral lists this ribosomal RNA (357 nucleotides) under Nostoc sp. HG1. RNAcentral describes it as "partial 23S ribosomal RNA". It matches the Rfam family "Bacterial large subunit ribosomal RNA", at positions 2556 to 2925 of the family's 2925-position model. The record is from RNAcentral. Lineage: Bacteria; Bacillati; Cyanobacteriota; Cyanophyceae; Nostocales; Nostocaceae.
GAGAAGGUUCCAAGGGUUCGGCUGUUCGCCGAUUAAAGGUGGCACGCGAGCUGGGUUCAGAACGUCGUGAGACAGUUCGGUCCCUAUCUGUGGUGGGCGUUGGAUGUUUGACAGGACCUGACUUUAGUACGAGAGGACCGAGUUGGACCAGCCGCUGGUGCACCGGUUGUCCCGCCAGGGGCAGCGCCGGGUAGCUACGCUGGGAGGAGAUAAGCGCUGAAAGCAUCUAAGUGCGAAACUCACCUGGAGAUGAGACAUCCCAAUUAUUAAGGUUCGUGGAAGAUGACCACGUUGAUAGGCAGCAGGUGGAAGGGCAGAAAUGUCUGAGCUGAGCUGUACUAAGGAACCGAGGGCUUC